CCUUUGACGUUGGCGGCGGACGGGUGAGUAACACGUGGGUAACCUACCUAUAAGACUGGGAUAACUUCGGGAAACCGGAGCUAAUACCGGAUAAUAUUUCGAACCGCAUGGUUCGAUAGUGAAAGAUGGUUUUGCUAUCACUUAUAGAUGGACCCGCGCCGUAUUAGCUAGUUGGUAAGGUAACGGCUUACCAAGGCGACGAUACGUAGCCGACCUGAGAGGGUGAUCGGCCACACUGGAACUGAGACACGGUCCAGACUCCUACGGGAGGCAGCAGUG
This 279-nucleotide ribosomal RNA is filed under the name uncultured Staphylococcus sp. RNAcentral describes it as "partial 16S ribosomal RNA". It matches the Rfam family "Bacterial small subunit ribosomal RNA", at positions 83 to 356 of the family's 1533-position model. The record is from RNAcentral. Lineage: Bacteria; Bacillati; Bacillota; Bacilli; Caryophanales; Staphylococcaceae.